CCUACGGGUGGCAGCAGUGAGGAAUAUUUGUCAAUGGUCGGGAGACUGAACCAGCCAAGCCGCGUGAGGGAUGAAGGUACAGAGUAUCGUAAACCUCUUUUGUCAGGGAACAAAGGCGGGGACGUGUCCCCGGAUGAGUGUACCUGAAGACAAAGCAUCGGCUAACUCCGUGCCAGCAGCCGCGGUAAUACGGAGGAUGCGAGCGUUAUCCGGAUUUAUUGGGUUAAAAGGGUGCGCAGGCGGUCUGUUAAGUCAGCGGUAAAAGCCCGGGGCUCAACCCCGGCCCGCCGUUGAAACUGGCAGUCUCGAGUUGGAGAGAAGUAUGCGGAAUGCGCGGUGUAGCGGUGAAAUGCAUAGAUAUCGCGCAGAACUCCGAUUGCGAAGGCAGCAUGCCGGCUCCACACUGACGCUGAGGCACGAAAGCGUGGGUAUCGAACAGGAUUAGAUACCCGUGUAGUC
This 459-nucleotide ribosomal RNA is filed under the name uncultured bacterium. RNAcentral's name for it is "partial 16S ribosomal RNA". It matches the Rfam family "Bacterial small subunit ribosomal RNA", at positions 338 to 795 of the family's 1533-position model. The record is from RNAcentral.